RNAcentral lists this ribosomal RNA (465 nucleotides) under uncultured bacterium. Its description in RNAcentral is "partial 16S ribosomal RNA". It matches the Rfam family "Bacterial small subunit ribosomal RNA", at positions 338 to 795 of the family's 1533-position model. The record is from RNAcentral.
CCUACGGGGGGCAGCAGUAGGGAAUCUUCCACAAUGGGCGAAAGCCUGAUGGAGCAACGCCGCGUGGGUGAAGAAGGUCUUCGGAUCGUAAAACCCUGUUGUUAGAGAAGAAAGUGCGUGAGAGUAACUGUUCACGUUUCGACGGUAUCUAACCAGAAAGCCACGGCUAACUACGUGCCAGCAGCCGCGGUAAUACGUAGGUGGCAAGCGUUAUCCGGAUUUAUUGGGCGUAAAGGGAACGCAGGCGGUCCUUUAAGUCUGAUGUGAAAGCCUUCGGCUUAACCGGAGUAGUGCAUUGGAAACUGGGAGACUUGAGUGCAGAAGAGGAGAGUGGAACUCCAUGUGUAGCGGUGAAAUGCGUAGAUAUAUGGAAGAACACCAGUGGCGAAAGCGGCUUUCUGGUCUGUAACUGACGCUGAGGUUCGAAAGCGUGGGUAGCAAACAGGAUUAGAUACCCCAGUAGUC